RNAcentral lists this ribosomal RNA (490 nucleotides) under uncultured bacterium. RNAcentral's name for it is "partial 16S ribosomal RNA". It matches the Rfam family "Bacterial small subunit ribosomal RNA", at positions 29 to 507 of the family's 1533-position model. The record is from RNAcentral.
AAUGAACGCUGGCGGCAUGCCUUACACAUGCAAGUCGAACGGCAGCAUGACCUAGCUUGCUUGGUUGAUGGCGAGUGGCGAACGGGUGAGUAAUGCAUCGGAACGUGCCUUUUAGUGGGGGAUAACGUAGCGAAAGUGACGCUAAUACCGCAUAUCCUCUCAGGAGGAAAGCAGGGGACCUUCGGGCCUUGCGCCAGAGGAGCGGCCGAUGUCGGAUUAGCUAGUUGGUGAGGUAAAGGCUCACCAAGGCAACGAUCCGUAGCGGGUCUGAGAGGAUGAUCCGCCACACUGGAACUGAGACACGGCCCAGACUCCUACGGGAGGCAGCAGUGGGGAAUUUUGGACAAUGGGCGCAAGCCUGAUGCAGCCAUGCCGCGUGAGUGAAGAAGGCCUUCGGGUUGUAAAGCUCUUUCGGCUGGGAAGAAAGCGCACCCUCUAAUACAGGGUGUGAAUGACGGUACCAGCAUAAGAAGCACCGGCUAACUACGUG